UGCGCAGGCGGUUUGUUAAGCGAGAUGUGAAAGCCCUGGGCUCAACCUAGGAAUAGCAUUUCGAACUGGCGAACUAGAGUCUUGUAGAGGGGGGUAGAAUUCCAGGUGUAGCGGUGAAAUGCGUAGAGAUCUGGAGGAAUACCGGUGGCGAAGGCGGCCCCCUCGGACAAAGACUGACGCUCAUGCACGAAAGCGUGGGGAGCAAACA
RNAcentral lists this ribosomal RNA (208 nucleotides) under uncultured Shewanella sp. RNAcentral describes it as "partial 16S ribosomal RNA". It matches the Rfam family "Bacterial small subunit ribosomal RNA", at positions 568 to 774 of the family's 1533-position model. The record is from RNAcentral. Lineage: Bacteria; Pseudomonadati; Pseudomonadota; Gammaproteobacteria; Alteromonadales; Shewanellaceae.